RNAcentral lists this ribosomal RNA (253 nucleotides) under uncultured bacterium. RNAcentral's name for it is "partial 16S ribosomal RNA". It matches the Rfam family "Bacterial small subunit ribosomal RNA", at positions 524 to 776 of the family's 1533-position model. The record is from RNAcentral.
UACGAAGGGGGCUAGCGUUGCUCGGAAUCACUGGGCGUAAAGGGUGCGUAGGCGGGUCUUUAAGUCGGGGGUGAAAUCCUGGAGCUCAACUCCAGAACUGCCUUCGAUACUGGCGAUCUCGAGUUCGGGAGAGGUGAGUGGAACUGCGAGUGUAGAGGUGAAAUUCGUAGAUAUUCGCAAGAACACCAGUGGCGAAGGCGGCUCACUGGCCCGAUACUGACGCUGAGGUGCGAAAGCGUGGGGAGCAAACAGG